GUCCAUGUAGGGCCUGAGAGCUCCCCCUCUUGGCCUCCUGACUCCAAUUUAAUGAGGUUUCUGUUUGUUAAUUUGACAGUGAGGUCCUGCAAGGGCCUGGCAUCCUGGGGUCAGGUAAAGUGCACCAUCCUUUAUCAGCUUUAACUGAGGAGUACCAAUAUCGGUGAAACACAACCUUCAGUCUUGCUAUCUCCUAGGCAAGUGCUGCUGCAAGGGGCACUUUUCCUUUUCACGACUGAAGAGGACAAACCUCAUAGACACCAUGUUGAGCAAAAGGAGUGAGACACAAAGGAAUGAUUACUGCAUGACUCCAUUUAGAAGAAGUUCAAAAACUACCCUAUGGAGAUGGAGGUCAGAGCAGUUGUUUCCCUGGGGAAGCUUGCUGUGUGGUAAAGAACUACCCUUACCCGAAGAGGGGUCCGCCCUUAGAUCCUGGGAGGGGAUCUCUAAACUCCUGGAAUUCCCUGCCUCAUAGGAGUGCCUUUGUUUACCUGGGGGCUGGACUGUGCCACACUGGAUAGUCUAACCUUGUGAUUUGUGGAGGGAGCUUUGAGCUGUGCAAUGUCAGAUGGACCUUUCAAGGGACUGGAGGCUAAGGUCCGCCAGGAAGGGGGUCAACCACGUCUACUUGAAGAAGCCCCUGUGAAGACUCUCUGGACACCGCAGCUUGGACGAGCUUCCCUGGUUGGCAGUCCCUUGGUGCUAUUGUCACACGUCGCUGCUGAGAGAAGUUAGCCCUGUCCACGCUUCCAUGGGGAAAGGACAACUGGAAGCUCCGUGCACGGACCUUUCCUGGGCUCUGCCCUAUACAAUCCUCUGGCUGAUUUUAAUCCAUAUCCUUUGGCUGUAAUACACUGUAACCAUGAGUAUAACAACUUUCAGUAAAUUCUGUGAGUCCUUCUAG
RNAcentral lists this long non-coding RNA (904 nucleotides) under Equus asinus (donkey). RNAcentral describes it as "lncRNA (ENSEASG00005031951.1)". Lineage: Eukaryota; Metazoa; Chordata; Mammalia; Perissodactyla; Equidae. The record is from RNAcentral.